UGGGGAAUAUUGGACAAUGGGCGAAAGCCUGAUCCAGCCAUGCCGCGUGUGUGAAGAAGGUUUUCGGAUCGUAAAACUCUGUUGUUAGAGAAGAACAAGGACGUUAGUAACUGAACGUCCCCUGACGGUAUCUAACCAGAAAGCCACGGCUAACUACGUGCCAGCAGCCGCGGUAAUACGUAGGUGGCAAGCGUUGUCCGGAUUUAUUGGGCGUAAAGCGAGCGCAGGCGGUUUCUUAAGUCUGAUGUGAAAGCCCCCGGCUCAACCGGGGAGGGUCAUUGGAAACUGGGAGACUUGAGUGCAGAAGAGGAGAGUGGAAUUCCAUGUGUAGCGGUGAAAUGCGUAGAUAUAUGGAGGAACACCAGUGGCGAAGGCGGCUCUCUGGUCUGUAACUGACGCUGAGGCUCGAAAGCGUGGGGAGCAAACA
Molecule: ribosomal RNA, 427 nt
Filed under: uncultured bacterium
Lineage: Bacteria
Description: partial 16S ribosomal RNA
Rfam family: Bacterial small subunit ribosomal RNA
Source: RNAcentral